Non-coding RNA from Pelobates cultripes (western spadefoot toad), 255 nucleotides. NCBI's taxonomy places the organism in Eukaryota, Metazoa, Chordata, Amphibia, Anura, Pelobatidae. The record is from the annotation of a GenBank genome assembly.
GUCAGAGUCCUGACCUCAACCCGAUUGAGAUGCUGUGGCAUGACUUCAAGAAAGUGAUUCAAACCAGACAUCCCAAGCAUAUUGCUGAACUGAAACAGUUCUGUAAAGAGGAAUGGUCAAGAAUUACUCCUGACCGUUGUGCACGUCUGAUCUACAACUACAGGAAACAUUUGGUUGAAGUUAUUGCUGCCAAAGGAGGUUCAACCAGUUAUUAAAUUCAAGGGUUCACAUACUUUUUCCACCUGCACUGUGAAU